RNAcentral lists this ribosomal RNA (486 nucleotides) under uncultured bacterium. Its description in RNAcentral is "partial 16S ribosomal RNA". It matches the Rfam family "Bacterial small subunit ribosomal RNA", at positions 30 to 507 of the family's 1533-position model. The record is from RNAcentral.
AUUGAACGCUGGCGGCAUGCCUUACACAUGCAAGUCGAACGGCAGCACGGGUGCUUGCACCUGGUGGCGAGUGGCGAACGGGUGAGUAAUACAUCGGAACAUGUCCUGUAGUGGGGGAUAGCCCGUCGAAAGCCGGAUUAAUACCGCAUACGAUCUACGGAUGAAAGCGGGGGACCUUCGGGCCUCGCGCUAUAGGGUUGGCCGAUGGCUGAUUAGCUAGUUGGUGGGGUAAAGGCCUACCAAGGCGACGAUCAGUAGAUGGUCUGAGAGGACGACCAGCCACACUGGGACUGAGACACGGCCCAGACUCCUACGGGAGGCAGCAGUGGGGAAUUUUGGACAAUGGGCGAAAGCCUGAUCCAGCAAUGCCGCGUGUGUGAAGAAGGCCUUCGGGUUGUAAAGCACUUUUGUCCGGAAAGAAAUCCUUGGCUCUAAUACAGUCGGGGGAUGACGGUACCGGAAGAAUAAGCACCGGCUAACUACGUG